UGGAAUGGCAUGGUUUCCAGA
RNAcentral lists this non-coding RNA (21 nucleotides) under Caenorhabditis elegans. Lineage: Eukaryota; Metazoa; Nematoda; Chromadorea; Rhabditida; Rhabditidae. The record is from RNAcentral.